UCUACCAGCAUCCAUGGUGAUCGUCUUCAGAGUCAGCGUGAGCAAGCGCUUCGUGACUUCAAAAAUGUUAUUAGGAAUAUUCUCGUGGCGACUAAUGUUGCUGUCCGUGGUGAAGAUAUUGCCGUCGUCAACUAUGUCGUAAAUUAUGACUUACCGACUGAUAUUGAAGAGUAUGUUCAUCGUGGUGGUCGAACUGGUCGCGUGGGAAAUGUUGGAAAAUCAAUAAGGUUCUUUGACGAUGAAAGAGAUGACCCUAACGCUGGAAAGUUUGUGUCUUUGUUAACUAGGGUAAGAACCUACUCCAGUUUGACAUCUAAUUAUAUUUCUCUGCCCUUGUGUUCGUAAUUAAUAAUCCUACGUAUGUUUUUUGUUAAUCCAACGCCGAUGUACCGCCAUUCAUGCAAGCGAUGGUCCCAGGCGUGAGUGGAAUGGGUUACGACUUUAGCGCCCCUUCGACUCAAUGGGGGUUUUGCUAGUCGAGAUAUGCGCCGAUUCGGCGAUAAACCUGGAUUUGCUGCCUUGCCUACUGAAGUUGACGAGAGUUGGGAUUAACUCAAUGUCGUUCACAUGGUUGUCUUAUUUUGGCGUAAUCCAAAACCAAAAUUCUUGUCCAAGAACAUCUUGGAACUUGUAAUGUUUGUUUGAAAAAUUUGAUUACGUGUUUAUUUUGCUAAUCCAGAUACCUGACUACAGAACGAAUUAAUUUUUGUGAAGAAAACAGUCAAUUGUAAAAUUUUCUAUUUAUACUUUUCUAUUUA
This is a long non-coding RNA of Daphnia carinata, 758 nucleotides long. RefSeq lists it as uncharacterized. The transcript is spliced from 3 exons. Lineage: Eukaryota; Metazoa; Arthropoda; Branchiopoda; Diplostraca; Daphniidae. The record is from RefSeq and is a predicted model, not a curated record.